GCCAGGUGUGGUGGCUCACACCUGUCGUCCCAGCUACUCGGGAGGCUGAGGUGGGAGGAUUGUUUGAGCCCAGGAGUUCAGGGCUGCAGUGAACUAUGAUUGUGCCACUGUACUCCAGCCUGGCUAACAGAACAAGACACUGUCUCUA
Molecule: non-coding RNA, 148 nt
Filed under: Nomascus leucogenys (northern white-cheeked gibbon)
Lineage: Eukaryota; Metazoa; Chordata; Mammalia; Primates; Hylobatidae
Source: Rfam by way of RNAcentral